AUUGAACGCUGGCGGCAUGCUUUACACAUGCAAGUCAAACGGCAGCGGGGAGGAGCUUGCUUCUCUGCCGGCGAGUGGCGAACGGGUGAGUAAUACAUCGGAACGUGUCGAGAAGAGGGGGAUAACCACCCGAAAGGGUGGCUAAUACCGCAUAAAUUCUGAGGAAGAAAGCUGGGGACCUAGGAAUAGGCCUAGAGCUUUUUGAGCGGCCGAUGUCGGAUUAGCUAGUUGGUGAGGUAAAGGCUCACCAAGGCGAAGAUCUGUAGCGGGUCUGAGAGGAUGAUCCGCCACACUGGGACUGAGACACGGCCCAGACUCCUACGGGAGGCAGCAGUGGGGAAUUUUGGACAAUGGGGGCAACCCUGAUCCAGCCAUGCCGCGUGUAUGAAGAAGGCCUUAGGGUUGUAAAGUACUUUUGUUAGGGAAGAAAAGUCAGCUGUGAAUAAUGGCUGAUACUGACGGUACCUAAAGAAUAAGCACCGGCUAACUACGUG
RNAcentral lists this ribosomal RNA (494 nucleotides) under uncultured bacterium. Its description in RNAcentral is "partial 16S ribosomal RNA". It matches the Rfam family "Bacterial small subunit ribosomal RNA", at positions 30 to 507 of the family's 1533-position model. The record is from RNAcentral.